RNAcentral lists this long non-coding RNA (570 nucleotides) under Heterocephalus glaber (naked mole-rat). RNAcentral describes it as "lncRNA (ENSHGLG00000025334.2)". Lineage: Eukaryota; Metazoa; Chordata; Mammalia; Rodentia; Bathyergidae. The record is from RNAcentral.
CCUGGAGUCACUGGGCACCCCAGUCCAGCGACGGCUGCCUGACAGUCACUUGGCUGGAGAGCGUCAGCAGCGAUCAUGCUGUGCUGCUUUCCCAGGCCUCGAGGCCGCAGCACCAGGAGCCCGUGCAGGGAAAGCACUUGGGCGCGAGUGAGAGGUUGGAUGGCUAAGUCCCCGUGCUUCAGGCCACUCACCAGGAACUACCUGGCCUUCAGGGGCAGCACAGGGCGGGUCUCCCCAGACCCAGAGACCUGGGAAUCUGAGACGAGCGGGAGCCCAGGGCAGAUCUCCCUGGACCUGGACACCAGACUCUCGGGGCCACCGAGUCCAGGACAGGUCCAGUCAGGCCCGGCCACCACUGACCAGCUCCAGCCCCAGCUGAAGUCCCAUGUGUGGAGCCCGAGCCAGCUCCACCUGCAGCUUCCUGCCCAGCGGUGGGACCACAGCCAGAGUCCGUGGCAGCCCCUUCACCUGCUGCAGUGCUGGGGCACCUGGUGGUUGCACGGUGGUCGGUGUCACCUCCUGAGCUCCUCCUGGGGCCAGCUCCCGGGCCCCUCCCACUGUUCCCCUCAC